RNA transcript from Aegilops tauschii subsp. strangulata, 2063 nucleotides. It is a transcript of the gene named DEAD-box ATP-dependent RNA helicase 38, with no coding region annotated. The record is from RefSeq and is a predicted model, not a curated record. NCBI's taxonomy places the organism in Eukaryota, Viridiplantae, Streptophyta, Magnoliopsida, Poales, Poaceae.
UCCAGAUCGAGGCGGGGUCCUUCUUCCUCCGUCUGCUUCUGCUCUCUCGCCCAUUUUCUCCCCAUCCCUUCCAUUCCCUCCCGCUGCUGCUGGAUUUGGGGGGGUGGGGAGAGAGCCAUGCCAGUGUCGAUGUCGGUUGGCUGAUUUGGUUCUUUGCUCCCCAGGUGGCCUCUGCGCAUCUCCUUCGCCCGCUCGAGCCGUAGAAGCAUGGGCGCGAACGGCCCCACUAGCAGCACCGUCGCCUCAUCAUCCUCUUUGCCGGCCACUGCCGGCUGCGGUGGCGGUGCGGCCCACAAGCCGUGGCUGUUUGUUGGGCUCGGGAACCCCGGCAAGAUGUACAAGGGGACCCGCCACAACGUAAGAUUCCGGCGCUCUAGCUUUCUGGAUCACGCUUUGCUUGUCUUGUAAGGAGCUGCGCGUUUUCAGUUGGUAGCCCUGUCGACUGUCCAAGUUAAUCAUGAUGCAAUUCAUAAAUCCUACUAGUAAUUUCUAGAAAUUACUGCAAUUUUUUGAAGCCGAUUUAACUAUGUCUACAAACACUGAUGUUGCGUGGCUGGAAAGGCUAAGUAGGCUUGAUGCUAAGCUCUUCGCCAGGGUAAAGGUGUUAUAUUUUUGGUUGCUUGAUACUGCAAACUCUUGGCUUUCUGUUAAUUGCGUACUAUCCCGAUUAGUGUGAUUAGUUGAACUAUACUCUGGAUUACAGUAUGUCACUAUUAUAUCCUGUUGGUAAUCAUUAUGUUGUUGCAUACAGGUUGACAAGAUGGGGUUCAGACGCCCCAGCAAGAUCCAGGCCGUCACGCUUCCCAUGAUCCUCACGCCGCCCUACAAGAACCUCGUAGCCCAGGCGCACAACGGCUCCGGCAAGACCACCUGCUUCGUCCUCGGCAUGCUCAGCCGCGUCGACCCCAGCUGCAUGAGUCCCCAGGCCAUCUGCAUCUGCCCUACUAGGGAGCUUGCGCAGCAGGUGUUGAUGCAGGCAGAUCUGUUCCUGACCAAGCUGACCAGCAUGUGCGAGAGGAGCACGGAGAAGGGCUUUAUGUGGGUCACCAUGAAGCGAUGUGAGAGACCCCCAACCCUUACAGCUGGCUCGUGAGGUGUGGGUUGUAGAUUUGAUGGGUUCAGCAACUCUGAUGUGACGAGUUGUUCGAUAUGCGCAGCGUCGAUGAAGUGUUAGGCUAGGUUGAAGAAGAUGGUGAGUAAGGGGGAGCCUGUUGAGUACCGAUGCCUGGUCUGCGCCACCGAUGGCAAGAGGAACAUCUCCACCUCGGUACGAGAUGGCUCUGACCAGAAUUGGUCUUGCUGGCAUCGCCGUCAUGGGGCAGAACCUUGCCCUCAACCUUCUCCCGCGCCCUUUUUGCUCAGGCGGUGGUGCACAUCCCGCGCCAGUUCAAGGUGUCGGACUGGUUCCUGAACAGGAAGAAGGACUACAAGGACGUGAGGUUCUCCCAGGUCGUCUCCAACGCCGUCGACAUGAAGCUCAGGGAUGACCUCGAGAGGCUAAAGAAGACCAGGUAUAACCUCGCCGUUCCCUGUUCUUUUCCCCCCUUACUAUUGGUUGAUAUAUGACUAUGUGUUAGAUUCAAUUACUGAAGAUGCUUGCACUUCAUAUCAGGACAAGCAGUUUGUGUCUUGCCUGGUAGUAUACAGUUUAAUUUGCUAUUAUUAGCUAGGGUUGUUGAUAGACAUAAUUUUCUGCUGGAAGUCAAAUCUCCUAAACACUAGAAUGCCUGAAAUGUCAGGGUAGCAAGUACUAGCCAUGUGCUUCAUUCUAUGUACCGUUCUGGUGUCUGUGCAUGUAUGGGCUAGCUUUUUGUGUAUAAUAGUGAGUUGAUGCUUCUUUCUACAGAAAUACAGCAUGUUAGCUCUAUGGAUGUUUAUUUACCUGCAACUUCUGCCAGCUCUAACUUGGUUAUAUAACAGUUCAAUUCAGUCAAAUCUUUGGGGUGUUGAUACACUACUGUGCAAGUUCUAUGGUAUGUGAGUUCCUUCUAUUGCUGCAAGCAUUGACACAAUAUGUCAUGUGCAAGGAGCUCCGCAUCCGAGUCUCGUCCAUCCUCGGCAGC